AUUCCAGCUCCAAUAGCGUAUAUUAAAGUUGUUGCAGUUAAAAAGCUCGUAGUUGGAUUUCUGUUCUCGAGGAUCGGUCCGCCUCACGGUGAGCACUGGUUUUUCUUGGGGACAUCCUCUCGAAGGCGGGUGGUGCACUUAAUUGUGUGCUGCUUGGAUUCGGGACCUUUACUUUGAAAAAAUUAGAGUGUUCAAAGCAGGCGUCGGCUUGAAUACAUUAGCAUGGAAUAAUGGAAUAGGACUUUGGUUCUAUUUUGUUGGUUUCUAGGACUGGUUUAAUGAUUGAUAGGGAUAGUUGGGGGUGCUAGUAUUCAGCGGCCAGAGGUGAAAUUCUUGGAUUCGCUGAAGACUAACUUAUGCGAAAGCAUUCACCAAGGAUGUCUUCAUUA
This 389-nucleotide ribosomal RNA is filed under the name Choanoflagellata sp. RNAcentral's name for it is "partial small subunit ribosomal RNA". It matches the Rfam family "Eukaryotic small subunit ribosomal RNA", at positions 582 to 975 of the family's 1831-position model. The record is from RNAcentral. Lineage: Eukaryota; Choanoflagellata.